Long non-coding RNA from Mesoplodon densirostris (Blainville's beaked whale), 910 nucleotides. RefSeq lists it as uncharacterized. NCBI's taxonomy places the organism in Eukaryota, Metazoa, Chordata, Mammalia, Artiodactyla, Ziphiidae. The transcript is spliced from 3 exons. The record is from RefSeq and is a predicted model, not a curated record.
UCCAAAAUAUGCCUCAGUGGAAUAUUACUUUGAAUUAAAGUUACUGAAGAAAUGACUGAUGCAAGAGAGACACACUGACCUUCCUCUCUGUCUCCAUGAAAGCAGGAAAUUAAUAUCUCAUGUGAAUGGUGCCCUCCCUGUACCAGGAGGUAGAAAGACAUCAUUAGCACCAGAGAUAGGGAAUGCAGGGUCAAGAAGGCUGUAUAAACCUUGUUACUUCUUUAACUCAAGAAGGUUGGCAGGGACAUUUCUUCCUCCUCAACAGCUGACAAGACAACCAGGAGGCUGGCUAAACCCUGCUUCCCACCACAAGACGGCUGCAGCUGAGAGAUCCUAGGACACAUGACAAAGGCCAGCAGAAGCAAUGCCUCUUAUUCAAUACCUGAUUGCUUGUACAGUCAGCUUAACUUCUACUUGGAAAUACUGCUUUGGAAGAGAAAAUUAAGAAAAAAGCAUCAUUAAAAAAGAGACAAGGUUGGGCUUCCCUGGUGGCGCAGUGGUUGAGAGUCUGCCUGCCGAUGCAGGGGACACGGGUUCGUGCCCCGGUCCGGGAAGAUCCCACAUGCUGUGGAGCGGCUGGACCCGUGAGCCAUGACCGCUGAGCCGGCGUGUCCGGAGCCUGUGCUCUGCAACGGGAGAGGCCACAACAGUGAGAGGCCUGCAUACCAAAAAAAAAAAAAAAAAAGACAAGGCUACUCGCAGAUCUAACAUGCUAAGCUUUAACUUAGUACGUUCUUAGGACUGAUGUUUUCCAAGGAACAAACUUUCUUGUUUUCUGUGCAAUAAUAAAGGUUUGUUAUAAAAGUUAAGUACAAAAAGUGAGAAAAAAUAAAAAUAGUGGUAUCUUCACAGUUGAGUUCUUAACAUAUUUUCUGAUAUAUGUAAAAAGAGAAAAAUUGGCAAAAUGAGU